UGGAUUUUUGCAAGUUUCCAUAUUUGC
This 27-nucleotide non-coding RNA is filed under the name Mus musculus (house mouse). The record is from RNAcentral. Lineage: Eukaryota; Metazoa; Chordata; Mammalia; Rodentia; Muridae.